Molecule: non-coding RNA, 101 nt
Organism: Wallemia mellicola CBS 633.66
Lineage: Eukaryota; Fungi; Basidiomycota; Wallemiomycetes; Wallemiales; Wallemiaceae
Source: the annotation of a RefSeq genome assembly
GCUUUCGUGGCUUAGGGGUUAUAGCGCCGUGUUAACAUGGCACACUUUAUAAGUGUUCACCGGAUCCGCGGAGGUCAUGAGUUCGAUUCUCAUCGAAAGCU